Molecule: transfer RNA, 83 nt
Filed under: bovine gut metagenome
Rfam family: tRNA
About the family: Transfer RNA (tRNA) molecules are approximately 80 nucleotides in length. Their secondary structure includes four short double-helical elements and three loops (D, anti-codon, and T loops).
Source: RNAcentral
GAGAGAUGGCCGAGCGGUUGAAGGCACCGGUCUUGAAAACCGGCGACGCGCGAGCGUUCGUGGGUUCGAAUCCCACUCUCUCC